Molecule: RNA transcript, 3693 nt
Organism: Theobroma umbraticum
Lineage: Eukaryota; Viridiplantae; Streptophyta; Magnoliopsida; Malvales; Malvaceae
Gene name: berberine bridge enzyme-like 8
Source: RefSeq, a predicted model, not a curated record
CUCAUCUUAUUUUUUUUUUAAUUUUUACAAAUUUUACUAAAUUCUCCAAUUCAUUACUUGUUAAUAUAAGAAUAUUACCUUUAGAAUAUUUUAUAUUUGAAGUAGUGAAGAAUUCUUUAAAAAUGUGGUUAAAUGCCAAAUAUUUUUGUGAGAAUGCAAUAAAAUUUAUCGAAGGCCAGUUAUUGCUUAACCUGAACUCCUUAUGAUCUCCAUCGAAACUGAAGGACAUAAACCUUUUUCAUAUAUAUACUUGCUUAAACAAUACACAUUAUUCAACAGAAUAUGGGAAUUUUAAGACCAGUGGCUGUUGUUACAACGCUUUCUACCAUUCUCCUAUCUAUUUUAUGGAGGGCAACUUUAGAUUUAGCUCAGGAAACAUUUCUUCAAUGUCUCUUAGAGAAUUCUCUCCGUUCCCAUCCCAUCUCUGCAGCAAUCUACACUCCUCAGUCCUCCUCAUAUUCAUCUGUUUUGGAAUCUUACAUUAGAAACCUUCGAUUCAAUGAGACCUCAACCCCAAAGCCAUUCCUUAUUCUCACUGCAUCGCACGAGUCCCACAUCCAAGCUGCCGUUCUUUGUGCCAAAAAGCAAGAUAUUCAGAUGAAAGUUCGGAGUGGAGGCCAUGACUACGAGGGGUUAUCUUACGUAUCUACUGUUCCAUUCUUUGUCCUAGACAUGUUCAAUCUUCGAUCUGUCGAUGUAGAUAUAGGAAAUGAGACUGCUUGGGUUCAGACAGGAGCAACUCUUGGUGAAGUUUAUUACAGAAUUGCUGAGAGGAGCAAUAUUCAUGGCUUCCCAGCUGGUGUUUGCCCCACAGUUGGUGUUGGCGGUCACCUUAGUGGAGCUGGCUAUGGUAAUAUGAUGAGAAAGUACGGCGUUUCUGCCGAUAACAUUAUCGAUGCACAGUUUAUCGAUGCUAAUGGCAGACUUCUUGACAGAAAAUCUAUGGGUGAAGAACUUUUUUGGGCCAUUAGAGGAGGAGGAGGAGCGAGCUUCGGUGUCAUUCUUGCAUAUAAAAUUAAGUUGGUUCGUGUUCCGCAAAAAGUCACUUCGUUUCAGGUUGAAAGAACACUGGAAGAAAAUGCAACGGACAUUGUUGACCAAUGGCAACACGUUGCAGAUAAGUUGCCUGAAGAGCUCUUCAUCAGACUUGCCUUGGAUGUCGUAAACAGCAGUCGAAGCGGUGAAAAGACAGUAAGGGCUUCAUUCAUUUCCUUGUUUCUUGGAGAUUCUGAGACACUCCUUUCCAUCAUGAAUGAGAGGUUUCCCAAGUUGGGUUUAAGUAAAUCUGAUUGCAUUGAGACUAGCUGGGUUCGAUCCGUCCUUUUUUGGGCCGACAUACCCAUCGAGACAAAGAUCGAUGUUUUGCUGGAUCGAACUCCUCAAACAUUGGUUUCCUUGAAGAGGAAAUCAGAUUAUGUGAAAGAACCAAUUCCCAAGGCUGGUUUGGAGGGGAUUUGGAAGAGAAUGAUUGAACUGCAGGUGCCAAAAAUGUUCUUUAAUCCUUAUGGUGGAAAGAUGGCGGAAAUUCCAUCAACAAAAAUUCCAUUCCCCCACAGAGCAGGAAACCUAUGGAAGAUUCAGUAUUUAGCAAAUUGGAAUGAAUCGGGAAUUGAAGCAGCAAAUCAUCAUAUAGGUUUGACAAGGAAGCUUUACGAUUACAUGACUCCUUUCGUGUCCAGGAACCCAAGGGAAGCAUAUCUCAACUACAGAGAUGUUGACUUGGGCACCAGCUACAAUGGAAAGCCUGUCUACUCGGAGGGAAGAGUUUAUGGGAUCAGGUAUUUUAAGGGUAAUUUCGAUAGAUUAGUGCAGAUUAAGAGCAAGGUUGAUCCUAGUAAUUUCUUUAGAAAUGAACAGAGCAUCCCAGUUCUUCCAUAUCAAGAGAAUAGGGAUGAUCAAUGAUGACAGGUAAUAACUUUUUUAUUGGCGGUUACUAUCAUCUCUUAAUUUUCUGUUGAUAUACAAUGUGUACAACUUGUCGUGAAACAAAAAUCUAGGUAAGAUAUAAAAUGCAUUGCUAUUUCAGCAGCCAAAGUCUGCUGCUUGUGGUCGCUGCUUUGCUUAUUCUGGCUUUUGGAGCUGCUGGACUGCUAAGUCUUUUGAUUAGCUGGUUUUUGUGAAGGCGCUGCUUUUCCUUUGAGGCUGUGUAGUUUAGGUUCGUUAGGACUGAUAAGCGGAUCUUUUGUUGCUUAUGCACAGCUUUUCUCGCUUCCAAAGCUGUUCUUAUGCCAUAAGGAGUCUUUCACCAAAUUGGUUUAAGACUUGUAAUGGCAUUCAUGCUUUGGCGCUUUCCAUAAAACUCACUUUUCACAAAAAAAAAUGUUUCUUGGAGUUUCUACGUUGAGUGUUUUAUGUUGAUGGUGACUUGCGGGAGACAACCCUUCUCCAGGACUCUCUUUGUUGUCUCAUUCUUUGGUUGUAAGAGAAUUUCUGGCUCAUCACUGUUUUGGACGCUCUUGGUUUGUCUUCUUAUGUCUCUUGGACUAUCGGUUCUCAGCAGCUCAGAUGGGAUUUGUUUUCUGUUUUUCCUGGUCCAGCUGUUGUUUUGUCUGGCUUUUUGUAUGUGCUUCCUGCUUUCUUUUCUCGCUCGCAAAAGGACGGAAGAAAGUUGGCUCCGCUGGUUUGCUUCUCUUCUUUGAUCAAUGCCUGGAAGUCUUGAAACAUUUUCCUGUAGCUGUAUAUUCUGAGAGGUCCCUUCUUUUGUGAUGUCCCUCUUUUGAUUGAUAGUGUCGAAGUGCAACAAUGUUUAAUGUUCCACUUGUGUGCUGCUGGGGAUUCUCAGUCUCUUGUGCUCAUCGCCUAGGUUCCAAGUCGUCGGUGUGUCCUGAAGGUUAAGGUUGUGAUGAUCCUUUGUGCCUGGUGUUUGUUGGGGUGUCUAGCUUUCUUCUUCUCUCUCUGCUGGAUUGGUGUGAUGCUCUCCGUGGUUGAGGAGGCAUGUGACUGUAGCUUUUUGAGGUGCUGGCUUGAUGUCCUUGAUUGCUUAGGUGUCUCUUGGGGUGCUUCUUCUUUUGCCGGUCCGAGCUUUUCGUUUUGACGCUUGUGGCUUGUGUUUAUGUGGUGCAUUUAACUUCGUGCAGGCUGCCUUUCUUUGGCUGUGGAGCUAAAUGCUCCCCUACGCGUAGAUUUGUGUUUUGACGUUUUGUCCUGGUAAGCUACUUGUCUAUUGAGUAGCAGGCCGCUUGGGAAAAUGUGCGGUUUUUGUUUCCCCCACCAACCUUUCUGUCAUGAGUCUUUUGCAAACAAGCAUAGGACGCAGGCCCUUUGGGAAACUGUACAGCUUGUGUUUCCCCCACCAACGUUUAUGCCAUGAGAGUCUUUUGCAAACAAGCAUAAGACUCGAAAUGACACGUUAGUGUUGAGAUCAACAAAAUACACUUUCCUACCAUAUAUACUCUCUUUUAGAAGAAAGAAAAAAUAGGCAGAAAAUUGAGUUUAAAAUUAUGCGGCACCAAUAGCUCAAUUUGCAAAAAAAAAAAUUCAAAAAUUAAUAAUAUAUUCUUAUUAGCACAUGUUUUUAUUUUUAUGAUUUGAUUCUUUAUCUAGAUUCCCAACUGGUGACAUCGAAACUGUUGAGUUUGAGUGCUAACUUAUGGGUGUCCAUAACUUAUGUGUAUUUAUUUUUUAAUUAUUUAUAAAAUUUUAAAUUUAUAUAUUUAUGAAAUUCACGGAUAGUUAACUUAAAAUGUAUAAAAU